RNAcentral lists this ribosomal RNA (468 nucleotides) under uncultured bacterium. RNAcentral describes it as "partial 16S ribosomal RNA". It matches the Rfam family "Bacterial small subunit ribosomal RNA", at positions 28 to 507 of the family's 1533-position model. The record is from RNAcentral.
GACGAACGCUGGCGGCGUGCUUAACACAUGCAAGUCGAACGGAAAGGCCCUGCUCUUGUUGGGUGCUCGAGUGGCGCACGGGUGAGUAACACGUGUGUAACCUGCCCUUGUCUUUCGGAUAACUUCAGGAAACUGGGGCUCAUACCGCAUAGGAGCUCCUGCUGCGUGGUGGUCGUUGGAAAGUUUCGGCGGUUGGGGAUGGACUCGCGGCUUAUCCGCUUGUUGGUGGGGUUGUUGCUUACCAAGCCUUUGACGGCUAGGCUGCCUGAGAGGGGGACCGGCCACAAUGGGACUGAGAUACGGACCAGACGCCUACGGGAGGCAGCAGGGGGGAGUAUGGCACAAUGGGCGGAAGCCAGAUGCAGCAACGCCGCGUGCGGAAUGACGGGCUUCGGGUUGUAAACCGCUGUCGCCUGUGACGAAGCGGGAGUGACGGUAAUGAGUAAGGAAGCAACGGCUAACUACGUG